CCUACGGGAGGCAGCAGUGGGGAAUAUUGGACAAUGGGCGAAAGCCUGAUCCAGCAAUGCCGCGUGAGUGAUGAAGGCCUUAGGGUCGUAAAGCUCUUUUACCCGGGAUGAUAAUGACAGUACCGGGAGAAUAAGCCCCGGCUAACUCCGUGCCAGCAGCCGCGGUAAUACGGAGGGGGCUAGCGUUGUUCGGAAUUACUGGGCGUAAAGCGUACGUAGGCGGUUAUUCAAGUCAGAGGUGAAAGCCCGGGGCUCAACCCCGGAACGGCCUUUGAAACUAGAUAGCUAGAGUCUUGGAGAGGUCAGUGGAAUUCCGAGUGUAGAGGUGAAAUUCGUAGAUAUUCGGAAGAACACCAGUGGCGAAGGCGACUGACUGGACAAGUACUGACGCUGAGGUACGAAAGCGUGGGGAGCAAACAGGAUUAGAUACCCUGGUAGUCCACGCCGUAAACGAUGAUAACUAGCUGUCCGGGUACUUGGUAUCUGGGUGGCGCAGCUAACGCAUUAAGUUAUCCGCCUGGGGAGUACGGUCGCAAGNUUAAAACUCAAAGAUAUAGACGUGAGAGAGCGACGACGACGACGACGAGGAGAG
Molecule: ribosomal RNA, 592 nt
Filed under: uncultured bacterium
Lineage: Bacteria
Description: bacterial SSU rRNA
Rfam family: Bacterial small subunit ribosomal RNA
Source: RNAcentral